RNAcentral lists this long non-coding RNA (782 nucleotides) under Pandoravirus celtis. RNAcentral describes it as "hypothetical ncRNA". The record is from RNAcentral.
CGCGAUAAAGCCAACAGGGAUCAGGCGGCGGGGCGCACGAUAACCGGCACGGCAACGGUGGGCCGGGCGGCGAGGGCGGCCUCGGCGGCACGGAGGCGCGACGACAGACGCAGGUCACGAAGGCCCAAUAGCAGAAAGAGGCCCAAGACAACGACGAGCACGACAAUGCCAAUGACGACGGCGUGAUCGACGAUAAAGCGCUCGAACCGGUUGAGGCGGCCAAAGACGACGUUCUUGGCAAAGGUGCGCGAGGCCGAGCGCAGGCGCGCGGCCGUCACCGGCGUGGGUGUCGUCGAGCAGAUGGUCUGCACGCAGGGGGCCAGCGUCUCACUGAGCCAGGGAAAGGCCGCGGCAGUGCGCGCCGCGGCCUCGGUCGACUCGAGUGUGGUCACCACGCGGUCGAGGUCGGCACACAUCUGGUUGGUGGUGGCGCCCGCCACGUAGCCGACACCCUCGGCGAGACACGUGAUCUCGGGGCACGUGGCAGAGGACACGACCGACGCGCACUUGCUUCGGUCAUAGGUCGGCAGACCGGGCGUGCAAUACUCGACGGCGUCGGUCAAGGUCUCGAUGUACUGGAGGCACGUGGCACUGGGCACGGGCGCGCCACCGCGGCCGUCACCCGCCACAAAGGCCGAGGCGCGCGCCAACGCGUCCGAUACGGCCGGGCGCCGCUGACGCAGAAAGAACGGGUCGCCAGUAGUCGGCGCUGCCGUCGUCGUCAUCCCUUUUCCUCCUUUUCCCUUGUUUUUUUUGAUUCCAAAAAAAAGAGGAUUUUUCGG